AUUGAACGCUGGCGGCAUGCCUUACACAUGCAAGUCGAACGGUAACGCGGGGGCGAACCCUCGGCGACGAGUGGCGAACGGGUGAGUAAUACAUCGGAACGUACCCAGUAGUGGGGGAGUANCUCGGCGAAAGACCGGNUUAAUACCGCAUACGACCUAUGGGUGGAAAGACGGGGGNGUCNCAAGACCUCGCGCUAUUGGAGCGGCCGAUGUCGGAUUAGCUAGUUGGUGAGGUAAAGGCNCACCAAGGCUACGAUCCGUAGCUGGUCUGAGAGGACGACCAGCCACACUGGGACUGAGACACGGCCCANACUCCUACGGGAGGCANCAGUGGGGGAAUUUUGGACAAUGGGCGAAAGCCUGAUCCAGCCAUGCCGCGUGUGUGAAGAAGGCC
This 394-nucleotide ribosomal RNA is filed under the name uncultured bacterium. Its description in RNAcentral is "bacterial SSU rRNA". It matches the Rfam family "Bacterial small subunit ribosomal RNA", at positions 29 to 416 of the family's 1533-position model. The record is from RNAcentral.